RNAcentral lists this ribosomal RNA (402 nucleotides) under Triticum aestivum (bread wheat). RNAcentral describes it as "partial small subunit ribosomal RNA". The record is from RNAcentral. Lineage: Eukaryota; Viridiplantae; Streptophyta; Magnoliopsida; Poales; Poaceae.
AUGGUCUCGUCGAUGAAGCACUGCAGAGAUCAGGCCGAGGUGCCACUGUCCCUCUCGCUCUCCCUCGGUGUCGUGGCUGACCGGAACAAGAAGAUGCGCCGCAGUGCGGACGGCGAGUUCGUGUGCAAGACGUGCGGCCGCUCGUUCCCGUCGUUCCAGGCGCUGGGCGGGCACCGGACAAGCCACCUCCGUGGCCGUCAUGGGCUUGCCCUCAGCCUCGCCCAGGGUUCCGAGCCGGCGACCAAGAAGGCCACGAAGCAGAACCUGGCGCACCAGUGCCACGUCUGCGGGCUUGAGUUCGAGCUGGGGCAGGCCCUAGGCGGCCACAUGCGCCGGCACCGCGAACAGGAAGCCACCACCAUGGCGCAGGCGCCGCCCGUUCUGCUACAGCUCUUCGUCUAG